AUGCACGCUGGCGGCGUGCUUAACCCAUGCAAGUCGCACGGUGAAGGCGGAGCUUGCUCUGCUGGAUCAGUGGCGAACGGGUGAGUAACACGUGAGCAAUCUGCCCCUGACUCUGGGAUAAGCGCUGGAAACGGCGUCUAAUACUGGAUACGAGCUGCGAAGGCAUCUUCAGCAGCUGGAAAGAACUUCGGUCAGGGAUGAGCUCGCGGCCUAUCAGCUUGUUGGUGAGGUAACGGCUCACCAAGGCGUCGACGGGUAGCCGGCCUGAGAGGGUGACCGGCCACACUGGGACUGAGACACGGCCCAGACUCCUACGGGAGGCAGCAGUGGGGAAUAUUGCACAAUGGGCGAAAGCCUGAUGCAGCAACGCCGCGUGAGGGACGACGGCCUUCGGGUUGUAAACCUCUUUUAGCAGGGAAGAAGCGAAAGUGACGGUACCUGCAGAAAAAGCGCCGGCUAACUACGUG
Molecule: ribosomal RNA, 467 nt
Filed under: uncultured bacterium
Lineage: Bacteria
Description: partial 16S ribosomal RNA
Rfam family: Bacterial small subunit ribosomal RNA
Source: RNAcentral